Molecule: non-coding RNA, 166 nt
Organism: Xenopus laevis (African clawed frog)
Lineage: Eukaryota; Metazoa; Chordata; Amphibia; Anura; Pipidae
Source: Rfam
UGGCCCUGUGAUUAUAAACUGACAACACGAGGACAAAUGCUGAAGACCUGCUUUCUCUUUUCUCAAUUUCUUUCUUUCCUCCACCUCUCUUCUCUCUCCCAACCCCCACUCUUCCUUGUGGGUCUCCAGUGUCCAAUGAGAGUCUGAUUAUGAGAUAUGAGGGCUU